GGUAAAAUGGCUGAUUUAUAGGCGAUAAAUUGUAAAUUUAUUUAAGAAUGUUUUUCUUUUACCA
Molecule: transfer RNA, 64 nt
Filed under: Curculionoidea sp. 13 KM-2017
Lineage: Eukaryota; Metazoa; Arthropoda; Insecta; Coleoptera
Description: tRNA-Tyr
Source: RNAcentral